UUUUGGGAAGCAAAAUUGCGUUAAGUUUCGGCCUUAAAGAUGGAUAAUCUCCCCCAAAUU
Molecule: transfer RNA, 60 nt
Filed under: Pyramidella dolabrata (giant Atlantic pyram)
Lineage: Eukaryota; Metazoa; Mollusca; Gastropoda; Pyramidellidae
Description: tRNA-Arg
Source: RNAcentral